AACCAGCUCUUCAAGUGGUCGGGAUAAUUAUUGGGCUUAAAGUGUCCGUAGCCGGUUUGGUAAGUUCCUGGUAAAAUCGGAUAGCUUAACUAUCUGCAUGCUAGGAAUACUACCAUACUAGAGGGCGGGAGAGGUCUGAGGUACUACAGGGGUAGGGGUGAAAUCUUAUAAUCCUUGUAGGACCACCAGUGGCGAAAGCGUCAGACUGGAACGCGCCUGACGGUGAGGGACGAAAGCCGGGGGAGCGAACCGGAUUAGAUACCCCGGGUAGCCCUGGCUGUAAACGAUGCAUACUAGGUGAUGGUACGGCCAUGAGCCGUAUCAGUGCCGUAGGGAAACCGUUAAGUAUGCCGCCUGGGAAGUACGGUCGCAAGGCUAAAACUUAAAGGAAUUGGCGGGGGAGCACCACAAGGGGUGAAGCCUGCGGUUU
Molecule: ribosomal RNA, 430 nt
Filed under: uncultured archaeon
Lineage: Archaea
Description: bacterial SSU rRNA
Rfam family: Archaeal small subunit ribosomal RNA
Source: RNAcentral